This 256-nucleotide ribosomal RNA is filed under the name Staphylococcus aureus. RNAcentral's name for it is "partial 16S ribosomal RNA". It matches the Rfam family "Bacterial small subunit ribosomal RNA", at positions 1286 to 1533 of the family's 1533-position model. Lineage: Bacteria; Bacillati; Bacillota; Bacilli; Caryophanales; Staphylococcaceae. The record is from RNAcentral.
UCUCAGUUCGGAUUGUAGUCUGCAACUCGACUACAUGAAGCUGGAAUCGCUAGUAAUCGUAGAUCAGCAUGCUACGGUGAAUACGUUCCCGGGUCUUGUACACACCGCCCGUCACACCACGAGAGUUUGUAACACCCGAAGCCGGUGGAGUAACCUUUUAGGAGCUAGCCGUCGAAGGUGGGACAAAUGAUUGGGGUGAAGUCGUAACAAGGUAGCCGUAUCGGAAGGUGCGGCUGGAUCACCUCCUUUCUAAGGA